Molecule: ribosomal RNA, 468 nt
Filed under: uncultured bacterium
Lineage: Bacteria
Description: partial 16S ribosomal RNA
Rfam family: Bacterial small subunit ribosomal RNA
Source: RNAcentral
GACGAACGCUGGCGGCGUGCUUAACACAUGCAAGUCGAACGGAAAGGCCCUGCUUUUGUGGGGUGCUCGAGUGGCGAACGGGUGAGUAACACGUGAGUAACCUGCCCUUGACUUUGGGAUAACUUCAGGAAACUGGGGCUAAUACCGGAUAGGAGCUCCUGCUGCAUGGUGGGGGUUGGAAAGUUUCGGCGGUUGGGGAUGGACUCGCGGCUUAUCAGCUUGUUGGUGGGGUAGUGGCCUACCAAGGCUUUGACGGGUAGCCGGCCUGAGAGGGUGACCGGCCACAUUGGGACUGAGACACGGCCCAGACUCCUACGGGAGGCAGCAGUGGGGAAUAUUGCACAAUGGGCGGAAGCCUGAUGCAGCAACGCCGCGUGCGGGAUGACGGCCUUCGGGUUGUAAACCGCUUUCGCCUGUGACGAAGCGUGAGUGACGGUAAUGGGUAAAGAAGCACCGGCUAACUACGUG